UACGUAGGGGGCUAGCGUUGCUCGGAAUCACUGGGCGUAAAGCGCACGUAGGCGGAUUGCUAAGUCAGGGGUGAAAUCCUGGAGCUCAACUCCAGAACUGCCUUUGAUACUGGCAAUCUCGAGUCCGGGAGAGGUGAGUGGAACUGCGAGUGUAGAGGUGAAAUUCGUAGAUAUUCGCAAGAACACCAGUGGCGAAGGCGGCUCACUGGCCCGUUACUGACGCUGAGGCACGAAAGCGUGGGGAGCAAACAGG
Molecule: ribosomal RNA, 253 nt
Filed under: uncultured bacterium
Lineage: Bacteria
Description: partial 16S ribosomal RNA
Rfam family: Bacterial small subunit ribosomal RNA
Source: RNAcentral